GACGAACGCUGGCGGCGUGCCUAAUACAUGCAAGUAGAACGCACAGUUUAUACCGUAGCUUGCUACACCAUAGACUGUGAGUUGCGAACGGGUGAGUAACGCGUAGGUAACCUGCCUGGUAGCGGGGGAUAACUAUUGGAAACGAUAGCUAAUACCGCAUAAUAUUAAUUAUUGCAUGAUAAUUGAUUAAAAGGUGCAAUUGCACCACUCCCAGAUGGACCUGCGUUGUAUUAGCUAGUAGGUGAGGUAACGGCUCACCUAGGCGACGAUACAUAGCCGACCUGAGAGGGUGAUCGGCCACACUGGGACUGAGACACGGCCCAGACUCCUACGGGAGGCAGCAGUAGGGAAUCUUCGGCAAUGGACGAAAGUCUGACCGAGCAACGCCGCGUGAGUGAAGAAGGUUUUCGGAUCGUAAAGCUCUGUUGUAAGAGAAGAACGGGUGUGAGAGUGGAAAGUCAC
Molecule: ribosomal RNA, 462 nt
Filed under: Streptococcus gordonii
Lineage: Bacteria; Bacillati; Bacillota; Bacilli; Lactobacillales; Streptococcaceae
Description: bacterial SSU rRNA
Rfam family: Bacterial small subunit ribosomal RNA
Source: RNAcentral